UACCUUUUUAGGAAUGGAAGUCAAGUUUUUUCCUGUUGCCAUGGUCAUGAUGGAGCUGUGGGGAGGCUUGCCCAGGAGUGAGAUGCUGCAGAAAGAACAGAAGAAAAGUUAUCCCUGUGUGCCUCUUCCCAUGAGACUACGAGCAUCAGUGAUGAGACGGAGGAUCAAAGUUUACCUCCACUGGAAAGUGCAUUCAGUUUCACCUCAGGAUUGGAUCUAAAAGGCUUUUUCCUGGAGGCUGACUGAGCACCCUACAAGGAAUGCCCCACAAUCAUCACCAGUCUGCUUCUGCACCUUCCUGGAAUCAUCUUCCCUCCUGUGAACUUUAGCCUGCUGGCUGGAAUUGGAGCCCUUCGAUAGUAUCAGGUAAACAAACUGUGCCAGAUAAACACCUUAUCAAAGCACAAUACAAAGUCAUUGCUGUGAAACAAGAUUCUAAUCAGCACAGGCUGAGGACAAUACAAAGGGAGGCUGCUCAGCUCCAAGGUUAUGCAGGCUUGAACUGGUAUCAGCUUGUAGAGACAACAGAACACAGUUACAGUAGAACAGGAUGGGUUUUGCUAAUGGUACUAACAACUAGAGUAGUAGAAUAUCUGCAAUUCUAAACAAGAGUGGCCCAAUUUCCACAACUGCUUAUUAUG
This is a long non-coding RNA of Pezoporus flaviventris, 641 nucleotides long. RefSeq lists it as uncharacterized. The record is from RefSeq and is a predicted model, not a curated record. Lineage: Eukaryota; Metazoa; Chordata; Aves; Psittaciformes; Psittacidae. The transcript has 3 exons.